CCUACGGGGGGCUGCAGUGGGGAAUAUUGGACAAUGGGCGAAAGCCUGAUCCAGCCAUGCCGCGUGUGUGAAGAAGGCCUUCGGGUUGUAAAGCACUUUCAGUGGGGAAGAAAGCCUUGGGGCUAAUACCCUCGAGGAAGGACAUCACCCACAGAAGAAGCACCGGCUAACUCCGUGCCAGCAGCCGCGGUAAUACGGAGGGUGCGAGCGUUAAUCGGAAUUACUGGGCGUAAAGCGCGCGUAGGCGGUCUGAUAAGCCGGUUGUGAAAGCCCCGGGCUCAACCUGGGAACGGCAUCCGGAACUGUCAGGCUAGAGUGCAGGAGAGGAAGGUAGAAUUCCCGGUGUAGCGGUGAAAUGCGUAGAGAUCGGGAGGAAUACCAGUGGCGAAGGCGGCCUUCUGGACUGACACUGACGCUGAGGUGCGAAAGCGUGGGUAGCAAACAGGAUUAGAUCCCGUGUAGUC
This 464-nucleotide ribosomal RNA is filed under the name Vreelandella stevensii. RNAcentral describes it as "partial 16S ribosomal RNA". It matches the Rfam family "Bacterial small subunit ribosomal RNA", at positions 338 to 795 of the family's 1533-position model. The record is from RNAcentral. Lineage: Bacteria; Pseudomonadati; Pseudomonadota; Gammaproteobacteria; Oceanospirillales; Halomonadaceae.